AGAGUUUGAUCAUGGCUCAGAUUGAACGCUGGCGGCACGCCUAAUACAUGCAAGUCGAGCGGGGUAGCAAUACCUAGCGGCGGACGGGUGAGUAAUACAUAGGAAUCUGCCUUGUAGUGGGGAACAACAGUUCGAAAGGACUGCUAAUACCGCAUAUUCUCUGAGGAGGAAAGGGGGCGCAAGCUCUCGCUACAAGAUGAGCCUAUGUCAGAUUAGCUAGUUGGUGAGGUAAAGGCUCACCAAGGCGACGAUCUGUAACUGGUCUGAGAGGACGACCAGUCACACUGGGACUGAGACACGGCCCAGACUCCUACGGGAGGCAGCAGUAGGGAAUAUUGGACAAUGGGGGAAACCCUGAUCCAGCGAUGCCGCGUGUGUGAAGAAGGCCUGCGGGUUGUAAAGCACUUUAAGUUGGGAAGAAAAGCUUGCGGUUAAUACCCGUAAGUGUUGACGUUACCAACAGAAUAAGCACCGGCUAACUCUGUGCCAGCAGCCGCGGUAAUACAGAGGGUGCAAGCGUUAAUCGGAAUUACUGGGCGUAAAGCGUGCGUAGGUGGUUGGCUAAGUCUGAUGUGAAAUCCCCGAGCUUAACUUGGGAACUGCAUUAGAUACUGGUUGGGCUAGAGUAGG
This 630-nucleotide ribosomal RNA is filed under the name uncultured Gammaproteobacteria bacterium. RNAcentral's name for it is "bacterial SSU rRNA". It matches the Rfam family "Bacterial small subunit ribosomal RNA", at positions 8 to 650 of the family's 1533-position model. Lineage: Bacteria; Pseudomonadati; Pseudomonadota; Gammaproteobacteria. The record is from RNAcentral.